RNAcentral lists this ribosomal RNA (507 nucleotides) under uncultured bacterium. RNAcentral's name for it is "partial 16S ribosomal RNA". It matches the Rfam family "Bacterial small subunit ribosomal RNA", at positions 28 to 507 of the family's 1533-position model. The record is from RNAcentral.
GACGAACGCUAGCGGCGUGCCUAAUACAUGCAAGUCGAACGCUUCUUUCCUCCCGAGUGCUUGCACUCAAUUGGAAAGAGGAGUGGCGGACGGGUGAGUAACACGUGGGUAACCUACCCAUCAGAGGGGAUAACACUUGGAAACAGGUGCUAAUACCGCAUAACAGUUUAUGCCGCAUGGCAUAAGAGUGAAAGGCGCUUUCGGGUGUCGUUGAUGGAUGGACCCGCGGUGCAUUAGCUAGUUGGUGAGGUAACGGCUCACCAAGGCCACGAUGCAUAGCCGACCUGAGAGGGUGAUCGGCCACACUGGGACUGAGACACGGCCCAGACUCCUACGGGAGGCAGCAGUAGGGAAUCUUCGGCAAUGGACGAAAGUCUGACCGAGCAACGCCGCGUGAGUGAAGAAGGUUUUCGGAUCGUAAAACUCUGUUGUUAGAGAAGAACAAGGACGUUAGUAACUGAACGUCCCCUGACGGUAUCUAACCAGAAAGCCACGGCUAACUACGUG